This 253-nucleotide ribosomal RNA is filed under the name uncultured bacterium. RNAcentral's name for it is "partial 16S ribosomal RNA". It matches the Rfam family "Bacterial small subunit ribosomal RNA", at positions 524 to 776 of the family's 1533-position model. The record is from RNAcentral.
UACGGGGGGGGCAAGCGUUGUUCGGAAUUACUGGGCGUAAAGGGCUCGUAGGCGGCCAACUAAGUCAUACGUGAAAUCCCUCAGCUUAACUGGGGAACUGCGUCUGAUACUGGAUGGCUUGGAUUUGGGAGAGGGAUGCGGAAUUCCAGGUGUAGCGGUGAAAUGCGUAGAUAUCUGGAGGAACACCGGUGGCGAAGGCGGCAUCCUGGACCAACAUUGACGCUGAGGAGCGAAAGCCAGGGGAGCAAACGGG